Molecule: non-coding RNA, 3682 nt
Organism: Callithrix jacchus (white-tufted-ear marmoset)
Lineage: Eukaryota; Metazoa; Chordata; Mammalia; Primates; Cebidae
Source: RefSeq, a predicted model, not a curated record
ACCUAGGGCCGCCUGGCUGCUCUUUUGCAGGGUUCUAUUUGAGUCUUCCGGAGAAGGUCAACUGCCCGCCUGAGUUUCUGCUGUCUAUAUCAAAGGCUGUGUGUCAUGAAGGGAAACGCUGCUGGGCUGUGAGUCUGAAGGCCUGGGUAGUCCAGGCUUGGCCAGUAACUCACAAGCACCAAAGUGACACUUGAGAACAAACCAUGUCAUGUCAGUCCUUUAAACCAAACCUUGCACUGAGGAUGGAAUCCUUGCAGGUUAGAUGGCCUCCCUGGGUCUGCACCUGCCUCUUAGGUCUCAUCUUCCUCUCUCCCACCUGUUUCCCCACUGCAGCCGUCCCUUCUAAUCCUCAGUCUUGUCAAGCUCUUUCCUGCCUCACGGCCUUGCACUCUGUGUUUCUCAGCAUGGAUUCUGCUUCCCAGAGCUUUGCAUGGUAGGUCCUUCCUGCUGCUCAGCUGACACCUCCUUGACCAUGCAAUUAGAAAUAGGUAUGCAUCCUGCAUCCUGCCCUAGGCAUCUCCGACUCUAGCAGGCUGCUUUGGAAGCGUAUCACUAUUUGAAAUGAGCCUGAUUGUGUGUUGAUCCUUUAUUGCCUCCCGCCCACCUCCAACUUGCAACAAUAAGCACCAAAAAGCCAGGACUUGCCGUGCUUGUCCACCACAGAUUCCCCAGUGUGUUGUGUACAAUAGGAGCUCAUAACUAUUGUGAAAUCAAUGAACAUGUGAAUCAGCAAAUGAAUGAACAAACCCAGCCUCCCUGUUCCUCUAAGUGCUCAUCUGUGAAGUGGAGUGAUGAGAUGAUGUCUCAGGGACCUUUCAGAUGGAGCCGCCGUGACUACAGCAUGAGGCUGGCAUCUUGUUUUUGCACCCCUCUCAGAUUGCCGUGCAGACUUGGGUACAGUGAGUUAUUUCACUUGCCUGAGACUUCUUCCUUCAUCUGUUAAUGUGAACUGCCCAGAAGUUCUCCUCCAAGAUCUUUUCCACCUUGAAUGUUCUAGCUAUUAAAGUUACAGAUAAGGAAAAGCAGAAAUAAUAAUUGUGCCACUCAUUUCCACGAAAAUAAUGAUCAAGAACCCCAUGGCUGAAUCAGUAUUUUUAUAAUUUACAUAAUAGCUAAACUCUCCUAUAUGCCAAAUGCAGUGCUAGGUGCUUUAUACUCUCUUGUUCUAGCUCCACAGCAAUGCUUUGAGGUAGAUGAUAUCAUAAUCCCCAUUUUAUAGAUGGGCAAAGUGAAGUCCAGGAAGGUUAAAUUACUUGCCCAAGGACUCGCAGCUGUUAGGGGCAGAGCCCAGGGCUAGUGGCUCCAGAGCUGAUUUCCCUUAAGGGUAGUCGUGUUUCAUCUUGCCAACAUUUUAUUGCUGUAUUGAAGUAGUAUAACUACUAGAGUUUAUUUCAAAAUUAAUUUAAUUUUCCUCAGUUCUACCUCUGUGACUAGAAGUGUUCUUUUAUUUAAUUAAAAACAGAGGCUUGGAGGUGCUUUGGUUUUCAGCCUGUCACUUUUAGAACUAUCUUGGGUAGUGAAAUCUUUGGAAACAGGAGCCGUCAAACCUUUUGUAGGGGCAAAGGGAAAAUUGCUCUUUCACCCUCUGAAGGUUCACUGAAAACUCACAAAAGGCAGAUUUAUUAGAGAGAGAACAUAUAAAUUUACUUAAUGUAUACUCACAGGAGCCUUCAGAAUGAAUACCCAAAGAUACAGGGGAAAUAGUCCAAUUUUAUGCUUAGGUUCUACAAAGCAUGGGCAGCUGUGUAGAAAUAUGAUUGGGCAAAAUCUAAUGCUAAUAGAUGGAGUGGGGAAACCCAGCAAGGCCUGUCUGUCUAGAUUCUUCUUGGCCCUUCCGAGCAGCAUUCCUGCCUCCUGGGUGUGGGGCAGAGCCCUCUCUGUAACGGAGUUUCUACAGUCAAACAAGGUAGGCCAGAUAAUUUAUUUAUGGCCAGCUUCACACAGAAAGGAAGAGGGAAAAUUGGAGUAAUUUGUAGGUUUUAUGGCUGGCCUUGGAAAAAAAGGGUUCUGAUUUCUAUGGCCCACCUGGGGGCAAAGGGAUUCUAGUUUCUGUGGCUGACCUUAGGGGAAAUAGGAUUGAGGGACCAGAGAGCAGGAGAAGGUCAAAGAAAAACUUUUGCUUCCGGAGCCUUUACUUUGUAGUGUUUUUGAGCCCCAACACCUUACAAUACAACACCUUUCAGCUACCUGGAGUGGCUGGGGCAGUUAAUGGACUGAGAAAUUAAAUGAUCUGGUCAACUUAGAGCAUCACUUUUUCUAGUUUUCCCUAAAUGUGAAAAACGAUAGCAUACACCUAUUACUACAACUGAAUUGCCUGUAAUUUAAUCUUUAAUCUUGCAUUAUUGUUUGUUUGUUUGUUUUGAGGCGGAGUUUUGCUCUUGUUACCCAGGCUGGAGUGCAAUGGCACGAUCUCGGCUCACCGCAACCUCCGCCUCCUGGGUUCAGGCAAUUCUCCUGCCUCAGCCUCCUGAGCAGCUGGAAUUACAGGCACGCGCCACCAUGCCCAGCUAAUUUUUUGUAUUUUUAGUAGAGACGGGGUUUCACCAUGUUGACCAGGAUGGUCUCAAUCUCUUGACCUCGUGAUCCACCCACCUCGGCCUCCCAAAGUGCUGGGAUUACAGGCUUGAGCAACCGCGCCCGGCAAUCUUGUAUUAUUGUUUAUAAGAUUUUAGUAUCUAGCGUGGACUCAGAUUUAUCAUUAUCAAUUCCAAUUUUCACAUACUACCAAAAAAUUUCUGGCUUGUUUUGAGGUUUCUGUGCCCUGUAAUAAAGAGUUUAUUUUAUUGUCAAACCAGUCUUAAUUCUACGAAGAUGGCCAGUGAAUUUAUUUUGAUGUAGUGUUGAUUAUGUCCACAAGGUGGAGACAUUGAAACACUCUAACAUGAAGCUUAGUGAUAGCCAAGUGAGAAGAAACUUCUGGUUUCUUUAACCAUCCAAACCAGAGCCUUUACCUUUGCUUAAAAGCACUAAUGUUUACAUUUCAGUUCCAGCUUUGCCAAGCGUACGUUUUAACAUGUGCGAUAGCACUUAGAGCAAGUGUAGAUAAAAAGUUAAGAAAUGUAAGCAAAGCACCCAAUUACUGAAACUGGAGAACUUUGGUCUGGUUUUCUUUUUGUUCCUUUUAAUGUUGAAAUUUACCCUCAGCGGUCUCUCCUUGCCGCGGUGCGCCAGAGCAGAGUUUGAGUCUGAGGCGGAGGGAGUCAUGGCAGGACAGGCAUUUAGAAGGUUUCUCCCACUCUUUGAAUCGAGUAUUGGUUGAAAGGAGUGCAGCUGAAACUGUAACCAAAGGAGGCAUUAUGCUUCCAGCAAAAUCUCAAGGAAAAGUAUUUCAAGCAACCGUAGUCGCUGUUGGAUCGGGUUCUAAAGGAAAGGGUGGAGAGAUUCAACCAGUUAGCGUGAAAGUUGGAGAUAAAGUUCUUCUCCCAGAAUAUGGAGGCACCAAAGUAGUUCUAGAUGACAAGGAUUAUUUCUUAUUUAGAGACGGUGACAUUCUUGGAAAGUACAUAGACUGAAAUAAGUCACUAUUGAAAUGGCAUCAACGUGAAGCUGCCCGUUCCACUGAAGUUCUGAAAUCUUUCAUCAUGUAAAUAAUUUCCAUCCCUCUCUUUUAUAAUAAACUAAUGAUAACUGAUGACAUUUAGAGUCUCCAAAAUUGUUUCCUUGUACUGUUAUAAACAUUUCC